Triticum aestivum (bread wheat) is the source of this 721-nucleotide long non-coding RNA. RefSeq lists it as uncharacterized. The transcript has 4 exons. The record is from RefSeq and is a predicted model, not a curated record. NCBI's taxonomy places the organism in Eukaryota, Viridiplantae, Streptophyta, Magnoliopsida, Poales, Poaceae.
CUAUGAGGUAGCCAUUUUUUCACGUGAAGGUGAGCGGAUUCGGCUCUAUCAAGAUCAAUCUAUUUAUAACCUAUUUAUUAAAUUUGCAGUUUAUGCCUGCUAGGUCAUUUAUGGAGAGUGAUGUACAUGCAGAUAAUACAAGGGUGCAUUUCUCUUACUGUCAAGAAGAAGAUUUAGGUGGAAUUCUGUUCACCGAACAAAUCUUCCUUUUGGCGAUUGGAGACAAGGAGUUGAGUGGAAGGUUUUGGUUCGGCAGAUUGUUCUUCACUAUAUUAUGUCAGAUUUCGUCAUCAAAAUAGUCUUCUGCGGAGAAAUGGCACAAUCUUCUCAUGCCAUUUCGUGGGAGUAACACAACUGCACAAGUAGCAUAGAUGCAGCGAGGCCACUCUAUGACGGAGUGGAGCGGAACACUGGAUCGGUUCAAUAAAUUGAAGAUUAAAGAGUGCAUGAUAGCAUGAUAUAACUCAUGUCCAUGGUAGGUAAACCUUCUGAUUGCAUGGUUUUCUUUAAGUGACCCACUAGAUAAGAUUUGAUUAUUUCAACCUUGAACCGGUGGGUUUCUACGGAACUAUGUAUGAUUUAAACAAUGGUUGAAAUUAUUUAUCUGAGUUUGUUUCAAACAAAUAAAUUUGUAUUGGAAGACAAUUUCAUACUUUCAAUAUGGAUACUGAAGGAUAUAACUAUAUUAUGGGUGAUAUAUAUGUUGAUAGUACGAUUUCAA